AUGUGGCUACAAAAUGGAGGAAAAAGCAUUGGAUCUCGGUCGUUGGGAGUCUCAGUGGCACUGCACCUUUUACCAAGUAAGCUUCGGUCAUGCCCUGAAGCCUUCCAUGACCUCCUACUGUUGACCAAACUAGCAGCCUGUGUCCUGUUUGAAGAGCUACUGCGGCAGAAGCCGCUGCCUCCAAGCGCUUACGGGAUUUAUCUCUAAAUUAAUAUUUUCAUCGAACACCCUCACGAUACACCUUACAUAAUCUUUAAAUUAUAGGGAAACGCUAGAAGGGUGUUCUGCAAGUCACUGGCUGGAGUCCUGCGAGAGAUUUAUGGCUCUCUCAAGUCGACAUUUGUGACUGACCUACAGCACACCAGGGCUGCUAUUUCCCUUUCCUGAUUCAUGAUAAGUGCAGCUGCCUCCAAAUAAGCCUCCCGAGCCCAUUAAUGCUCAGUCCAUUCCCUUCUGGUAAAUACGCACAUCCCCAGCCUCACUUUUGAAUGUUCAGCGGCGACAAAGUUGAAUAGAAAAUCAGGUUGCCUUUUCCUGUUCGAAACCCUUUGCCAAGUGCCUUGUCACCAGAACGUGGGCGCCCCAGAGUCCAACUUAACCUCUGGCUCUAAUUAAGGAGAUACUUUCCAAUAUAGUUUACUCUCGCAAAAAUAGCAAGAUUGUUUUCCCCUGGCAACACGGGUUUUAAGGUCCUACACUGGGACGCCUUCCGUGUUUUGCUGCCAGCACCAUAGCUAAUUAACAAAAUUGCAUAAAGAUUGAUAUGAAGGUAAAUAUUAAAGGCACAAAAGGGAAGGGAAGGCAAAUUAUUUAAAAUGUCAGAAAAGCCAAGACAUUCAUCUUCCCUGCCGCAAUUUGUUUUUCAUUAAUAAAAUAUACAUUGUUUUCCGCUCGGAAAAGUUA
Molecule: long non-coding RNA, 903 nt
Filed under: Felis catus (domestic cat)
Lineage: Eukaryota; Metazoa; Chordata; Mammalia; Carnivora; Felidae
Description: lncRNA (ENSFCAG00000051475.1)
Source: RNAcentral